GCAAGUCGAACGAGAAAGUACCUUCGGGUGCGAGUAAAGUGGCGGACGGGUGAGUAACGCGGGGGCAUCUGCCUAGUAGUGGGGGACAACAAUCGGAAACCGUUACUAAUACCGCAUACGCCCUACGGGGGAAAGGCUUCGGCCGCUAUUAGAGGAGCCCACGUAAGAUUAGCUUGUUGGUGGGGUAAUGGCCUACCAAGGCAACGAUCUUUAGCUGGUCUGAGAGGACGAUC
Molecule: ribosomal RNA, 233 nt
Filed under: uncultured bacterium
Lineage: Bacteria
Description: partial 16S ribosomal RNA
Rfam family: Bacterial small subunit ribosomal RNA
Source: RNAcentral